AUUGAACGCUGGCGGUAGGCCUAACACAUGCAAGUCGAACGGCAGCACAGUAAGAGCUUGCUCUUACGGGUGGCGAGUGGCGGACGGGUGAGGAAUACAUCGGAAUCUACUUUUUCGUGGGGGAUAACGUAGGGAAACUUACGCUAAUACCGCAUACGACCUACGGGUGAAAGCAGGGGAUCUUCGGACCUUGCGCGAUUGAAGGAGCCGAUGUCGGAUUAGCUAGUUGGCGGGGUAAAGGCCCACCAAGGCGACGAUCCGUAGCUGGUCUGAGAGGAUGAUCAGCCACACUGGAACUGAGACACGGUCCAGACUCCUACGGGAGGCAGCAGUGGGGAAUAUUGGACAAUGGGCGCAAGCCUGAUCCAGCCAUACCGCGUGGGUGAAGAAGGCCUUCGGGUUGUAAAGCCCUUUUGUUGGGAAAGAAAAGCAGCAGGUUAAUACCCCGCUGUUCUGACGGUACCCAAAGAAUAAGCACCGGCUAACUUCGUG
This 492-nucleotide ribosomal RNA is filed under the name uncultured bacterium. Its description in RNAcentral is "partial 16S ribosomal RNA". It matches the Rfam family "Bacterial small subunit ribosomal RNA", at positions 30 to 507 of the family's 1533-position model. The record is from RNAcentral.